Molecule: long non-coding RNA, 806 nt
Filed under: Felis catus (domestic cat)
Lineage: Eukaryota; Metazoa; Chordata; Mammalia; Carnivora; Felidae
Description: lncRNA (ENSFCAG00000043826.2)
Source: RNAcentral
GAUGAACCAUGUGAAAGUGCCAGUUUUGUGAGUCACCAUUGUGUAUGGUUCAACCUGGUACCUGUCAGUUAUCCAGUCUCGUGUGCCGAUGUCACUGUCACCGUGAGGUGUGGUUCUCAUUCCUGAAUCUGGAUGAAUUGGCUGGAAGCUCAGGAAGGAGGUUUCUCUUCAGGAAAGAAAUGGAAGAAUAUAAGCCUCCUGCUCCAGCAGCGCCCAUGGCUGCCUUCCAGCUGGGCCUGGAUCCUCUGCUAUCGUGGACCCCACCCUGCACGUUCCUGUCUGCAUCUGGAGGCCCCGCGGCCUCUGGCUGUUGGCCUACUAGAGCAAGGCAGACUUUCUCAGCCCAGCAAAGGCGUUGGCUCUGGAGACAAGAAGUUAGAGAGAACUCAAGAAGCCAAUGGAGAAUUUCCCUACAUCCCAGAGGGAUGACACCAUCUCUCCACUUGAAGGGACAGCCAGCCAUGAAUGACCAGCUCCAUGGUGGCAUGCAUGUCCACAAUCUCUACAUGGGAUGUUACCUACUAGAGUGUAGAACACAAGUUUCUAGAUCUUCUCCCUGGAGCUCAUCAACUGAGGUGACUCAGCUACACUCCCCAUUUCUGCUUCUAUUUGUGUGUCUCACUUUACCCACUGCAAACUAACUACCUCUUCCUCUUUUCCCUCUGUGUCCUCUACCUUAAUCUUAGUACUGGAUACCUCUUAGACUCAGCUUAGUUAUUAUUCCUUAUGCUUCCCAGUCUACCUCAUGGGUGUAUUUAUUACAUCUGUUUAAGUUCCAUUUCCAACCUGAUUUUCUCCACGUUUUC